UACAGAGGGUGCGAGCGUUAAUCGGAAUUACUGGGCGUAAAGCGCACGUAGGUGGCGACGUAAGUCGGGUGUGAAAGCCCCGGGCUCAACCUGGGAAUUGCAUUCGAGACUGCAUUGCUGGAGUACGGAAGAGGAGGGCGGAAUUCCCGGUGUAGCGGUGAAAUGCGUAGAUAUCGGGGGGAACAUCAGUGGCGAAGGCGGCCCUCUGGUCCAGUACUGACACUCAAGUGCGAAAGCGUGGGGAGCAAACAGG
RNAcentral lists this ribosomal RNA (253 nucleotides) under uncultured bacterium. RNAcentral describes it as "partial 16S ribosomal RNA". It matches the Rfam family "Bacterial small subunit ribosomal RNA", at positions 524 to 776 of the family's 1533-position model. The record is from RNAcentral.